RNAcentral lists this small RNA (124 nucleotides) under Marmota monax (woodchuck). Lineage: Eukaryota; Metazoa; Chordata; Mammalia; Rodentia; Sciuridae. The record is from RNAcentral.
ACUGGGUGUGGUGGUGCAUGCCUGUAAUCCCAGUGGCUCGGGAGGCUGAGGCAGGAUGAUUGCAAGUUUGAAGCCACCUCAGCAAUGGUGAGCCACUAAGCAACUCAGUGAGACCCUGUCUCUA